Molecule: ribosomal RNA, 253 nt
Filed under: uncultured bacterium
Lineage: Bacteria
Description: partial 16S ribosomal RNA
Rfam family: Bacterial small subunit ribosomal RNA
Source: RNAcentral
GACGUAGGGCGCGAGCGUUGUCCGGAUUUAUUGGGCGUAAAGAGCUCGUAGGCGGCUUGUCGCGUCGUCCGUGAAAACCCACAGCUCAACUGUGGGCUUGCGGUCGAUACGGGCAGGCUAGAGUUCGGUAGGGGAGACUGGAAUUCCUGGUGUAGCGGUGAAAUGCGCAGAUAUCAGGAGGAGCACCGGUGGCGAAGGCGGGUCUCUGGGCCGAUACUGACGCUGAGGAGCGAAAGCGUGGGGAGCGAACAGG